This 373-nucleotide unclassified non-coding RNA is filed under the name Hevea brasiliensis (rubber tree). Lineage: Eukaryota; Viridiplantae; Streptophyta; Magnoliopsida; Malpighiales; Euphorbiaceae. The record is from RNAcentral.
GCUCCUGUACACUGCUGCCUCAGCUGGUGAUGUGAGCUUCGUCAAGGAAUUGUUGGAGAGAGAUCCUCUUCUUGUUUUUGGCGAAGGAGAAUAUGGUGUUACUGAUAUACUGUAUGCUGCAGCCAGGAGCAAGAAUUCUGAUGUUUUCAAGCUCCUGCUUGAUUUCUCAAUGUCAAGGAGGUGUGGCCUUAACUCUGGAAAAGGGAUGGAGGAGCAGUUGGGUGAGAAUUAUUCAGAUUUUAGACAGGAGAUGAUGAAUAGGGCUGUUCAUGCUGCGGCUAGAGGUGGUAAUUUGGACAUUUUGAAGGAGCUUCUUAGAGAUUGCUCUGAUGUCUUUGUUUAUAAAGACGCUCAAGGGUCCACUGUCUUGCAU